UAAAGUCUAACCUGCCCACUGAAAAAUUUUAAAUGGCCGCAGUAUUUUAACUGUGCAAAGGUAGCAUAAUCAUUAGUCUUUUAAUUGAAGGCUGGAAUGAAUGGUUGGACGAGAUAUUAACUGUUUCAUUUAAAUUUUUUAUAGAAUUUUAUUUUUUAGUCAAAAAGCUAAAAUUUAUUUAAAAGACGAGAAGACCCUAUAAAUCUUUAUAUUUUAUUUAUUUUAAUUAUAAAGAUUAUUUUUAUUAUAAUAAAUUAAAAUAUUUUAUUGGGGUGAUAUUAAAAUUUAAAAAACUUUUAAUGAUUUAAAUCAUUAAUGUAUGAAUAUUUGAUCCAUUUAUAAUGAUAAAAAAUUUAAGUUACUUUAGGGAUAACAGCGUAAUUUUUUUGGAGAGUUCAUAUCGAUAAAAAAGAUUGCGACCUCGAUGUUGGAUUAAGAGAUAAUUUUGGGUGUAGCCGUUCAAAUUUUAAGUCUGUUC
This 478-nucleotide ribosomal RNA is filed under the name Drosophila virilis. Its description in RNAcentral is "partial 16S ribosomal RNA". It matches the Rfam family "Bacterial large subunit ribosomal RNA", at positions 1846 to 2582 of the family's 2925-position model. Lineage: Eukaryota; Metazoa; Arthropoda; Insecta; Diptera; Drosophilidae. The record is from RNAcentral.